This 74-nucleotide transfer RNA is filed under the name Helicoverpa zea (corn earworm). Its description in RNAcentral is "tRNA-Ile". It matches the Rfam family "tRNA". Rfam says of the family: Transfer RNA (tRNA) molecules are approximately 80 nucleotides in length. Their secondary structure includes four short double-helical elements and three loops (D, anti-codon, and T loops). Further hydrogen bonds mediate the characteristic L-shaped molecular structure. tRNAs have two regions of fundamental functional importance: the anti-codon, which is responsible for specific mRNA codon recognition, and the 3' end, to which the tRNAs corresponding amino acid is attached (by aminoacyl-tRNA synthetases). tRNAs cope with the degeneracy of the genetic code in two manners: having more than one tRNA (with a specific anti-codon) for a particular amino acid; and 'wobble' base-pairing, i.e. permitting non-standard base-pairing at the 3rd anti-codon position. The record is from RNAcentral. Lineage: Eukaryota; Metazoa; Arthropoda; Insecta; Lepidoptera; Noctuidae.
GGCACAUUAGCGCAGUUGGUUAGAGCAUCGUGCUAAUAACGCGGGGGUCGGGGGUUCGAGUCCCUCAUGUGCCA